RNAcentral lists this ribosomal RNA (275 nucleotides) under uncultured bacterium. RNAcentral's name for it is "partial 16S ribosomal RNA". It matches the Rfam family "Bacterial small subunit ribosomal RNA", at positions 79 to 353 of the family's 1533-position model. The record is from RNAcentral.
CUAAGUUUGAUGGCGACCGGCGCACGGGUGAGUAACACGUAUCCAACCUGCCGAUGACUCGGGGAUAGCCUUUCGAAAGAAAGAUUAAUACCCGAUGGCAUAGUUCUUCCGCAUGGUGGAACUAUUAAAGAAUUUCGGUCAUCGAUGGGGAUGCGUUCCAUUAGGUUGUUGGCGGGGUAACGGCCCACCCAGCCUUCGAUGGAUAGGGGUUCUGAGAGGAAGGUCCCCCACAUUGGAACUGAGACACGGUCCAAACUCCUACGGGAGGCAGCAUG